Molecule: ribosomal RNA, 506 nt
Filed under: uncultured Glomeraceae
Lineage: Eukaryota; Fungi; Glomeromycota; Glomeromycetes; Glomerales; Glomeraceae
Description: SSU rRNA
Rfam family: Eukaryotic small subunit ribosomal RNA
Source: RNAcentral
AGCAGCCGCGGUAAUUCCAGCUCCAAUAGCGUAUAUUAAAGUUGUUGCAGUUAAAAAGCUCGUAGUUGAAUUUCGGGAUCAGACUGUCGGUCGUGCCUCGGUACGCACUGGCAUUAUUGGUUCCUACCUUCUGAAGAACCGCGAUGUCAUUAAUUUGGUGUCGCGGGGAAUCAGGACUGUUACUUUGAAAAAAUUAGAGUGUUUAAAGCAGGCUUACGCUUGAAUACAUUAGCAUGGAAUAAUGAAAUAGGACGUUUGAUUCUAUUUUGUUGGUUUCUAGGAUCGACGUAAUGAUUAAUAGGGAUAGUUGGGGGCAUUAGUAUUCAAUUGUCAGAGGUGAAAUUCUUGGAUUUAUUGAAGACUAACUACUGCGAAAGCAUUUGCCAAGGAUGUUUUCAUUAAUCAAGAACGAAAUUAGGGGAUCGAAGACGAUCAGAUACCGUCGUAGUCUUAACCAUAAACUAUGCCGACUAGGGAUCGGAUGAUGUUAAUUUUAUAAUGACUCA